Molecule: ribosomal RNA, 253 nt
Filed under: uncultured bacterium
Lineage: Bacteria
Description: partial 16S ribosomal RNA
Rfam family: Bacterial small subunit ribosomal RNA
Source: RNAcentral
GACGUAGGGCGCGAGCGUUGUCCGGAUUUAUUGGGCGUAAAGAGCUCGUAGGCGGUUUGUCGCGUCGUCUGUGAAAACCCACGGCUCAACUGUGGGCUUGCAGUCGAUACGGGCAGGCUAGAGGUAGGUAGGGGAGAAUGGAAUUCCCGGUGUAGCGGUGAAAUGCGCAGAUAUCGGGAGGAACACCGGUGGCGAAGGCGGUUCUCUGGGCCUUACCUGACGCUGAGGAGCGAAAGCGUGGGGAGCGAACGGG